UAUAACGAAAGAAUUUUAGGUGCCUUAAUUCUAUAUAUUUAUGAUAAGUGUAGGAAUUGGGGAGAAUAGGGAAUGGAGUGAAAGACUUCAGCGGACCCACCACUGUAAUGGUAAGCCUUUAAGCAUUAUGCCACUGUUGUAUACUAAUUGAUAGUAUUGUAUGGGAAGGCGUUUAAAGGUGAUGAGCCAAAGCCAGGAGACCUGCCUAAGAUUCAAUUAUUCA
RNAcentral lists this non-coding RNA (223 nucleotides) under Paramaledivibacter caminithermalis. Lineage: Bacteria; Bacillati; Bacillota; Clostridia; Peptostreptococcales; Caminicellaceae. RNAcentral also lists the same sequence under 1 other name. The record is from RNAcentral.